Molecule: ribosomal RNA, 424 nt
Filed under: uncultured prokaryote
Description: bacterial SSU rRNA
Rfam family: Bacterial small subunit ribosomal RNA
Source: RNAcentral
UCUAGAGGCUUCGGCAAUGGGGGCAACCCUGACCGAGCGACGCCGCGUGGAGGAUGAAGCCCUUCGGGGUGUAAACUCCUUUCGACCGGAAAGAAAGCCCGGAUGGUGAAUUCGGGUCUGACGGUACUGGUGGAAGAAGCCACGGCUAACUCUGUGCCAGCAGCCGCGGUAAGACAGAGGUGGCAAGCGUUAUUCGGAUUUAUUGGGCGUAAAGGGCGCGUAGGCGGCCAGGUGCGUCUGGUGUGAAAUCGCUACCGCUUAACGGAGCGACUGCACUGGAGACGGCUUGGCUCGAGUGCGGGAGAGGUGAGUGGAAUUCCUGGUGUAGCGGUGGAAUGCGUAGAUAUCAGGAAGAACACCAGUGGCGAAGGCGGCUCACUGGCCCGGCACUGACGCUGAGGCGCGAAAGCGUGGGGAGCAAACG